Molecule: ribosomal RNA, 736 nt
Filed under: Halomonas sp. EPB-5
Lineage: Bacteria; Pseudomonadati; Pseudomonadota; Gammaproteobacteria; Oceanospirillales; Halomonadaceae
Description: bacterial SSU rRNA
Rfam family: Bacterial small subunit ribosomal RNA
Source: RNAcentral
UGAGGUGCGAAAGCGUGGGUAGCAAACAGGAUUAGAUACCCUGGUAGUCCACGCCGUAAACGAUGUCGACCAGCCGUUGGGAUCCUUGAGAUCCUUGUGGCGAAGUUAACGCGAUAAGUCGACCGCCUGGGGAGUACGGCCGCAANNUUAAAACUCAAAUGAAUUGACGGGGGCCCGCACAAGCGGUGGAGCAUGUGGUUUAAUUCGAUGCAACGCGAAGAACCUUACCUACCCUUGACAUCCUGCGAACUUGAUAGAGAUACCUUGGUGCCUUCGGGAACGCAGAGACAGGUGCUGCAUGGCUGUCGUCAGCUCGUGUUGUGAAAUGUUGGGUUAAGUCCCGUAACGAGCGCAACCCUUGUCCUUAUUUGCCAGCGCGUAAUGGCGGGAACUCUAAGGAGACUGCCGGUGACAAACCGGAGGAAGGUGGGGGGGACGUCAAGUCAUCAUGGCCCUUACGCGUAGGGCUACACACGUGCUACAAUGGCCGGCACAAAGGGCUGCGAACUCGCGAGAGUAAGCGAAUCCCAUAAAGCCCGUCUCAGUCCGGAUCGGAGUCUGCAACUCGACUCCGUGAAGUCGGAAUCGCUAGUAAUCGUGAAUCAGAAUGUCACGGUGAAUACGUUCCCGGGCCUUGUACACACCGCCCGUCACACCAUGGAAGUGGACUGCACCAGAAGUGGUUAGCCUAACUUCGGAAGGCGAUCACCACGGUGUGGUUCAUGACUGGGGUGAA